GUGCCUGUUUCAAAUGCACAUAAACUAAAAAAAGUGCAAAUUAGAGAAGAUCAGCAUGGCCCCUGCGUAAUGAUAACUCGCAAAAUCGCGAUUCGUUACGCAUUUUU
This is a small nuclear RNA of Hyalella azteca, 107 nucleotides long. Lineage: Eukaryota; Metazoa; Arthropoda; Malacostraca; Amphipoda; Hyalellidae. The record is from RefSeq and is a predicted model, not a curated record.